Non-coding RNA from Daucus carota subsp. sativus, 84 nucleotides. The record is from Rfam. Lineage: Eukaryota; Viridiplantae; Streptophyta; Magnoliopsida; Apiales; Apiaceae.
AUAUGUGGAUGAUGAGAUAAAAAUAAAUCACAGUUAUCCCUGUCUGAGUUAUAUUCUGCUGAAACUUUGUGAUCUGACACAUAU